GACAGAGGAGCCAAGCGUUGUCCGGACUGACUGGCGUAAAGCGCCCGCAGGCGGCCGUUGCACGUGGGUGUGAAAGCGCUCGGCUUAACCUGAGCGAGGCCUCCAUACGGCGCGGCUCGAGCCGUCCAGAGGCCGGUGGAAUUGCCGGGUGUAGUGGUGAAAUGCGGUAGAAGAUCGGCAGGAACACCCAGGGGGAAACCAGCCGGCUGGGACGUGGCU
RNAcentral lists this ribosomal RNA (219 nucleotides) under uncultured bacterium. RNAcentral's name for it is "partial 16S ribosomal RNA". It matches the Rfam family "Bacterial small subunit ribosomal RNA", at positions 524 to 741 of the family's 1533-position model. The record is from RNAcentral.